AAGGCCUUAGUUUAACAAAAACAUUUGAUUUGCAAUUAGAAAAUGCAAGAUAGAGUCUUGUAGGUCUUA
This 69-nucleotide transfer RNA is filed under the name Phoxinus phoxinus (Eurasian minnow). Its description in RNAcentral is "tRNA-Ala". It matches the Rfam family "tRNA". Rfam says of the family: Transfer RNA (tRNA) molecules are approximately 80 nucleotides in length. Their secondary structure includes four short double-helical elements and three loops (D, anti-codon, and T loops). RNAcentral also lists the same sequence under 14 other names. The record is from RNAcentral. Lineage: Eukaryota; Metazoa; Chordata; Actinopteri; Cypriniformes; Leuciscidae.